UCCCCAUGUUAAAAUCCUAAGUACCUAAGA
This 30-nucleotide non-coding RNA is filed under the name Mus musculus (house mouse). Lineage: Eukaryota; Metazoa; Chordata; Mammalia; Rodentia; Muridae. The record is from RNAcentral.